Molecule: ribosomal RNA, 253 nt
Filed under: uncultured bacterium
Lineage: Bacteria
Description: partial 16S ribosomal RNA
Rfam family: Bacterial small subunit ribosomal RNA
Source: RNAcentral
UACAGAGGGAGCGAGCGUUGUUCGGAAUUACUGGGCGUAAAGGGCGCGUAGGCGGUCCGAUAAGUCCCGUGUGAAAUCCCUCGGCUCAACUGAGGAAUGGCACGGGAAACUGACGGGCUUGAGUUCGGGAGAGGGAAGCGGAAUUCCGGGUGUAGCGGUGAAAUGCGUAGAUAUCCGGAGGAACACCGGUGGCGAAGGCGGCUUCCUGGACCGACACUGACGCUGAGGCGCGAAAGCUAGGGGAGCAAACAGG